UGGGGAAUAUUGGACAAUGGGCGCAAGCCUGAUGCAGCCAUGCCGCGUGUAUGAAGAAGGCCUUCGGGUUGUAAAGUACUUUCAGCGGGGAGGAAGGCGAUAAGGUUAAUAACCUUGUCGAUUGACGUUACCCGCAGAAGAAGCACCGGCUAACUCCGUGCCAGCAGCCGCGGUAAUACGGAGGGUGCAAGCGUUAAUCGGAAUUACUGGGCGUAAAGCGCACGAAGGCGGUCUGUCAAGUCGGAUGUGAAAUCCCCGGGCUCAACCUGGGAACUGCAUUCGAAACUGGCAGGCUAGAGUCUUGUAGAGGGGGGUAGAAUUCCAGGUGUAGCGGUGAAAUGCGUAGAGAUCUGGAGGAAUACCGGUGGCGAAGGCGGCCCCCUGGACAAAGACUGACGCUCAGGUGCGAAAGCGUGGGGAGCAAACA
RNAcentral lists this ribosomal RNA (427 nucleotides) under uncultured bacterium. RNAcentral's name for it is "partial 16S ribosomal RNA". It matches the Rfam family "Bacterial small subunit ribosomal RNA", at positions 355 to 774 of the family's 1533-position model. The record is from RNAcentral.